GGGAGAGAGAGAGAGGGAGAGAGAGAGAGAGAGGGAGAGAGGAGGCGGCGAGAGAAGAGCAAGUGCGGAGCCGCGGGGCUGCUCCGGAGCCGGCAGAGCCUCCUCGGACAGCAUACCCCGGCCCUGGCCCCAGCUGCUCGCGUGGUCAGAGGAAACGCGGCGGUGGCCGCCGGAGCUCGGUCCCGCGCGCCCCUCGCCGCCGGCUUACCGGUGCCCACGCAGCCCCGGGACGCCGCUACCCUCUCGGCGGCCGGGAUGCAGCCGGGGCAUGGCCGCCGGGCCCCUGUCACCUGCCACGGGGAGCGCUGAGCCCAUUGGAAACCUGUCUCUGAGGCCCUGAAGCUUUUCCUAGUCUUCCCUGGCAACUCUCCAUCCCAAGGAAGUUCCAGAAAGAACCCCAGGGGGGCCUCCCUCCUACGGCAAAGCAGACCUCCCCUUCCACUUCCAGGUAAGGCGGCUGCCCGCGCUCCCGUCCUUCCUCAGAGUUGGCGUUUGUGAUGGAAAAACAUCUUUGCGCGUCAAUUUUCUUUUGCACGAGGGAACUGCAGGGACGUUCUGCUGGCUCUAGUUUGCAGAUUGAGGUGUCUGUUGUGACUUCAGGGAGUAGGACUGGGAGAAUCCACAGAUCCCCAGAAAUCACCUUGAGCAGGAUUUCGUAAGGCGUGGCCGCUGAAAUCCCUCAGUCUGGCCACCGAGCUUUUAUCCCCGGAAGGAGCGUGGUCAGGGUGCACAUAGCAUCCACUGUCUGGUGUCAGCAUGAGAUACCAUAGCGGCCAAGGCUGGGGGCUGACCCACCCAUACUGGAUCUGUGUCCUACAGCCCACAUCGCUCUGUAGCCCAGUAAUGGGCUCUGAUGCCUUCAUCUGGCUCUAGAGGGAACCUGCUGAUUGCCCCGUUCCUAUCUCUAGGGGCUAGAGUGUACUUCAACCCAGCCACUAGCUGCCUGGAGUUACCAGCAGACCCCACAGGCUUCUGGCCCAUCCCCCACAAGACUACCCUGUUUCAGAUGCCAGCUGCCAGUCUCGUGGCCAGUGGCAUUUCCGACCAACGGGCUACAAAUUCAAGGAUUCCCGCACCCCCCUCAGCUUCACCGUUUUGCUAGAACACCUUACAAAACUUAAGAAAGUGCUACGCUUACAAUUUGCAGUUUGAUUAUAAAGGAUGCACAUAGGUGAGCUUGGAGAGGGUCCCGGAUGGACUUGGAGCUUGAUGCCCUCCCCCGUAUAGAGUUAGAGCCCUCUCAGCCCAUCCACGUGUUCAUCGGCCACCCAGCUCCCAAGCUUUGGGUGUGUGUCCAGAGUUUUACUGGGGUCUUAUGACACCACUGGCCACAUGAUUGAACUCAGUCUCCAGCAAGUCUUCCCUCCCCUGAGGUAGGAAGUGAAAAUUCCAAACCUCCACUCAGUACCCUUUCCCUGAAACUCUCUGAGGGUCCUCCCUGCGCUGCGUGGUGAGCAUGGAGUCAGUGGGAUGAGCUCCCGAGGGACUUGGUGGGAAGAACACUCUCAGCCUUUAGAAAUUCCAGAGGUUUUAGAGGUUACCUCCGGAAACCAGGCACAGAAACCAGACAAGUUCUUUAUUAUACCACCUUGGAGCUCGUGCAGCCCUGCUCUCUGCUGAGAAACCACACAGAACUGGUGGGUCCGUGUCGUCCAGGGCAGGAAAGACCAGAGCCCCCACACCCUACAGUCAGAACGAUGCCAACAAGAAUCCUGGGCAAAGAGACCAGGACACAGGUCGGUCUCUCCAAGACUCCUUGACAGAUGCCCAUUUUAGAAUCCAUGGCAUUGGAUUCCACACACGACACGGGUGUAGCUCCAGGAGGGCACCGCCUCUAAUCUUCGCAUGGUGGAAAUCAGUCCUCUCCCCUACUCAGGGCCUGUGGGGGCCUCUUCUGCAGUGGGCUGAGGGGGCCGCUGACGGGUCUGCGUUCAGUCAUCCCGCCAUUCCUGAGCCCUCCAGGGGCUGAGCUGGAGAUGCAGCGGUGAUGCACCAAGUCCUUGCCCACGCUUGUCUUCUACGGGUAGGGCGACAAGGGUGUAUUUGAGCAAAUCAGGCAGCGAUAAGGCCAUGAAGAAAAUGGGGAGAGGAGGUAAUCGAGAAGGCUGCCGUUCCCCCGGGAGGCCUGGGCAGGCCCUGGGCGCCGACGGGAGCAGAGACUGAAGGAGGCGGCUGGCAGGCCCUGAGGACGGGCAGAGGAGCCGUGCGUGCGGAGGCCCCAAGGCCGCGAUGCACAGGCACGUUGGAGAAGCGGCGCAGAGCUUGGUCUUCCGGGGUGGGGUGGGGGGGUGAGCAGGUGUGGAAGGAGGUGACAGCUACAGUCAGAAGCAUUUUGGACCCUGGUUAAAGAUUCUGGGUUUUGUCUGAAGGAUGGAGGGAGCUACUAAAGGGCGCUGAGCUAGGGACUGAAUGACCCAGUUUGAGUCGUAUGAAGUUGCUUUCUGGGUGGAGAAUAGAUGGAGCAGGGAGGUCAGCGUAGAAGCAGGGGCUGUGCCAGCAGGCCGCGGCUUGUCCCAGGGAGGGGUGGCUGUGCCUCGGACCCAGGAUGAGAAAGGUGGUGGAUCUGGGGAUGCGUUGGAGCUGAGUACUUAAACAGCCUCUCUUCUACCCUGAAAUCCUGCUGUCAUCCCAUCCUCUAAACCACCGGGCACCCUGGCGAGCCUGGAAAGGAAGACCAUACACCCCAGACCGCACUGGGACAGAGGAGCAAGGCCCCGGGACCGUUCAGAAGGUCUCAAUCCCCUGGGACCUUCUGAAGCCUCCCCUUCAGGGCUCCCCCAGCAUUACCAUAAAACCAGUGCCAGGGCACUGUCCUCAGCCUCCCCUUUUCACCACAGGCACCAAGACACCAGCCUUGCCAGCUCCCUGAUGCUCUCGCUUGACGUGAGGUUUGGGUGUGGUCUCAGUGCAGGCCAGGUGACCCCUAGGGGCUUGCACUGGGCUUCUGGUCCUAAGUAAGUGCACCUGGCUCUGCCCGUGGAGAAAGGGCAUCAGAGUGCCCACCCCCUGUGUGCUAGGGACUGUCGGUCAUCUCCGUGACCCCGUGGAAGAUGCUUCUCCUGGUUGCUUUCUUGAAGGGGAUUUCAGGGCCCAGCUUCACCUUCCUUAGGUCUGAGAGUCAGCUUUCUCCUAAAAUGGUAAAUCCUUAGUGUUAGAAGCCAAAGGCAUCAGAUAGGCCAGGCCCGAUGGUGGGUCUGGGAACUCAGGGCUCAGGGGGGUUGCUAUGCUGGCUCUUCCCUGCCCCCCAGAGCUGCUUCGGGGAGCACAUGCCUUUUCUGGUCCCUCAUGGCUUCCAAGCCUGUGCUCAAAGUUGUGAAACGGACUGUGCAUCAAGGGCCUUCUCCCUUCUAGUGGGGCGAAGUCUGGAGGAGAGAAGCAUCAAAGCGAAAACCCUCAUGUCCCAUUUGCCCAGGGCAGCAUGAAGCCUGCAGAGGGAGCCUGGCUCUGUGUAUUGCCUUCUGAUCACCUUUAGGCGAGGGGUGGGUCUCUGAAGGGAGAAGGCCACCCACAGUGAUCAGCAGUCAGGUGUGCUGGCCACGGACUCCCUGCAGACACCCUCUCACCCUGCAGUGGUGCCCCGCUCUUUUGAUGGGAUCCAGAUGUGGGCUUUGGAGGGGGCUGCCAAACCCACCCCUGGGCUCCAGCGUGCAUGGAGGGGUGAGGUCUGGAAAGAAAAUGAGAGGGGAGAGGUCGGGGCAGCAGGCAGCCCAGCUGGCUUCCCUUCAUCCAUGGAUGAAUCAUGAGCAGUGGGAGCAGGCCCUUGGGAAAAAGCCGACCUGGGGGGUGAAGGCUUGGGGGGUGAUGAUGCAGGGGAGAGGAGCCCACACGGGCUUACGGAGCCUCUGCACUGUGCGUCUUCCACGCCCUCUCGCAGUGGGAGGUCGUCUGGAGAAAGUGCUCUCUAGGUGCUCCAGGAUCAGUGAUGGGGAAACUUCAGGGAGGAGCCUGCAGGAGCUUCUGCUCUGGCGCGCCGGGCUGUUCCACUCCCUGUGGAGUGCGGCCCGCACAGCGUCGCGCCCCAUCCCUGCAGAUGUGUCCUCGAUGAGGCCUGGGGCUCAGAGGAGGGAAUGGAAGGAAGCUGGCUCCAUCUCUUUGCCUUGGAAAGGGCCCCACAUAUUAUAUCCCAUUCCGAGGCUCAUCCUUUAAAUAUGGAUUUGAUCUGGAUUGUACUGUAUAGUAAAUUCUGAGUCCUUAGUAAAAACAUGGGUGGAAAUUAAUCUGUAAAAUGAGACUUGUCUCUUACAUGUAGUGGCAGAGGCCAGGGGCAGACGGGUGCUCCAGGUCAAUGGUGAGGGGACCUGCCUCUAGCAUCUGGACCAGAAACUCACUGCGAACAACACCCGCUCUUCUGUCCCCCACCCUCCCCUUCCUCUCUGCCCUCCCUGUCACCACCCUGACUGGACGUUCUGACUCCUCCCAAACCAUGGUUCGGUACCUUGGGGUCACUCAGAUAAAGCAGAGGGCACAGCUGGCUGUUCCUUCUCCAGAUGUUUUUUCGGGGUCAGGGAGCACUUUCGCUCUGGAGCAGAGAGAUGAACAAAGUCUCUGGCCCUGACCUCUGGCCCCUCAGAGGGAACUCCUAAAACCCGCAGGGGAAGGGGGAAAGUCCACCCUACGGCUGACUCUUCUGGCCCAAGAAGAAUGGCUCUGGGCUGGACCAGUGGCAUUUUUUCAAGUACAGGGGACAGCAUGUUACCGAGCAGAGGCUGCCAUACUUGUGUUGGCUCAGGCUUGAGUGUGUCAUGGCUGGCAGCUGGCACACUUCCAGCUGUUGUCCCCCCUCCCCCACAACAUUAGAACUGGUCUGUCUACCCGGGCUCCUGCCCUCCAGGAUGGACCCCUGAGCGGCCACAUGCGACUUCCCAUAAAUCAUUCCCGAAUGAGCGUGCUUCCUGCCUCAUCCAUCAUGCCUGUCUCUUGUCUGCUUGUUUUUAAAAGCUGUUAAACUGGAAUCCAUCACAUGGCACCCUCGGGGGGCCAAGCCGCAGCAAAGGCUGCCCGCAUCAGCAAUAUUAAUGCACACAGAGCUUUCUAGAGCAUCGAGGUAAACGUCUCCCCAGUGGUGGGGAGAGGGAGAGCGGGACUUUAUCUAGUUAUACCAGAAGCUAAUGGGAUGUUUCUCUGACACUUGCAGUUAAUACAUUGCCGCCACGCAUGAGGAAGUCCUGGUGGCUGCUGGGUGGACCAGGUAAUGCCCACCUCAACAGUGAGGCUGGGGUUUCUCCCUUCUCACAGAGCAUCUUAUUUGCUUCUCAUGCCUGAUAUUUUAAUUUGAAGACUAGUUUGAGCCAGAUUUUGGAAAGAUGGGUCCUUCUAGAAACACCUGUGUUUGCUCUUCUGUUACCACAUGUAUUCGGAAACGAAGAUUUGGUGCUGAGAGCAGCUUCACUCCCUCCUUCUGAACAUUUACCACCAGUGCAAGUUCUGGGAUGUGUCCAUGAGGAAGGGGAACGAGCCUGAACCCCUCCUGUUAUACUCAUAUUCUCUCUCCCCCUCCUCCUUCUCCUUUCCUCUGAUUGUGUGAGGAAGGCCUGGACCCUGUUUCUCUGUGGCUGGAAUCUUCCAGGCUCUUUAACAUUCACCUAAUUGACUGGUGCCGGAUUUGCCUCCAAGAACCCUCCUGUCUGUCCCAGACAGAUGUCACAAACCUCAGUGGCAGUAGUGAUAUUUUGUCCCAUCUGCUUUUGGCUUCUCUGCUAUCCUUUUCUUUGCCUCAUAUUUGUUGGUUGAAGGAUAAAACUGCUUGUUGGCACUGGUGUGACAUUUAAAAAAAAGAAAUAGGAGAAUGGGCCAGGAUUUUUUGUUGGUGACCUGUGAGCUCGGGAAUGAGCAGCCCAGGAGGCUGGGCUGGUGGCAGAGGGCGCUGUCAGCACCCCCACCCCUCCACACUGGAGCUGUCCAAUUAGAGCCCAUUAGUCACUCAGUGUGUUAAAGCAUUAAGAACAAUUAAGGGUGAGAAGAGUUUCCAGAUGUAGCUUCGGCUCUGGGGUUGGAAGGGGCUGGCUGUUCCCCAGAUGGAAGGAGUCUGAGAAGAGUGGCAGGAAUCAGCGUCCGUCUCAUCAGAGCUCAGGGCUUUGAGAGGGGGAACCCGUGGGGGUGGAGGUGGGGCUCCAGAUUCAGAUGCUCGGUGGGAGGGUCCUGGGGCUGCUGCAACAAAGGAUCACAGAAGCGGGGCUUGAAACAACAGACACUUAUUCUCUCAGCUGUGGGGGCUAGACUCUGCAAUCAGGGUGCCAGCAAGGCCCCGUUCUCUCUCUGGAUUGUGUGGUCGCUGGCAGGCCUUGGCCUUCCUUGGCAGCUGGACAUAUCAUUCUAGAAUCUGCUUCUACCACCACAUGUCUUCUCCCCUCUGUGCCUGUCUGUCCCCUGGUCUUCACACGGCAUGUCACAUGUGUCUGUAUGUGUCCAAGUUUCCCUCGCCUUGUAAAGACGCUGGUUGUGGAGUUCUCGCUGUGGCACAGUGGAUUAAGGAUCCAGCUUUGCUGAAGCUGUGGCAUAGGUAGCAGCCACAGCUCAGAUUCAGUCCCUGGCCCAGGAAUUUCUAUGCGCUGUGGGUGUGGUCAAAAAAAAAAAAAAAAAAAAAAA
RNAcentral lists this long non-coding RNA (6585 nucleotides) under Sus scrofa (pig). RNAcentral describes it as "lncRNA (ENSSSCG00030059162.1)". Lineage: Eukaryota; Metazoa; Chordata; Mammalia; Artiodactyla; Suidae. The record is from RNAcentral.